UGUAUUUUGAUAAGGAUUUUUAGGUAGCCAUAGACUGCAUUUCGCUGCUGCUAUUCUGUAUUGUUAGAUUUGGUGUCUGUUUUGCUGCUGCUACAAUGACAACAAACAGCUGUUUUGUUAACUCAUUUUGUGACUUUAUGCAACAAAUGCAUAUAUGAUGUUUUGGUGAUCUAUGAGUUGUACAAGUUGAUAGUAUGUGUGUUUGCCAGGAAAUGAAAUACUUUGGUUGGUGACAAGGAAACUUAGUACUGUUGUGUGUCUAUUGUUGAUUGCCAAUUUCUGAAGUUUAUGUAGUAUGAAGUUUACUUCCCAAUAUAAAAACAGCGCUUCUUUAGAAACAAUAAUUGAUAAGUAACAACAACAUAUACAUAUUGAGAUGAGAAUACUACAAAAUAUUGAAAUGACAAAACUACAAAAGGCUUACAUUCAAAUCAAAGGUCCAUUGUAAACAUACAAAAUAAAACCUACAAGCAACAUCUACAUUCAUAUUGAGAUGACAAAACUAGAUUCACAAUGGCAACCUCAUUGCAUCUUCUUUCAAUGAGAUUCCUGGAUACCCACAAGCAACAAGAAUAAUACAUAUCCCCAAUAUAAUGAACCAAAGUACAUUUUCCCUAGCCUUUGACUUAGAUAAUUUACUCUUCCACUUCUUUUCCUUCUCUUUCAUCUUCUCCAUAUUGUCACACCCCUUUUUACAAACUUCACUAACCCUCUUAAAUUAAUAAAAAGAUUUAGUAAAACUUGAAAAAGGUUUUCAAUCCGAAAAGUGACAAAAUUAUGUGUUCAAAAGGAUUAACUCAGAGUCGCCACCUGACAUUUGAUUUCAGUGUGUCAGGUCACCGUUUUUUCUAAAAAUAAUUUUUUUCCUUUCAAAACACUAUAGACUCUAAAAACUAAGUCUACACCAAAGAUUCGGGUAAGGGGGUUCAUUUGACUCGGGGAGAAGGUGUUAGGCACUCCCCAAGUCCCGUGAAAAUUACGGUUGCGUACUCGAUCUAGUUGGCUUUUAAAAUAUUAAAGUUGAGGUAAAACUAAACACAGAAAAGAAAAACAAACACACAAGAGUCUCAAGGUCGUCCCCAGCUAAUAUAAGAAAAAUGAAAAAUGAAAAUAAAAAUAAAAAUAUUAAGAGUUCUACUUUCCGCCUCCAAAUACAAAUACUUCGGGGCAUACCCCGGAUAAAAAUAUAAACAAAUCCUACAAGGCAUUCCCCGAAUAAUAAACUAAAAAAACGACCUCUCGCCUCAAAUAGAAAUGAGAUAAAACCUAAGGUUUGUCUACCCAAGUGAUGACGGGCUAAGCAUGCUUCUAACGAAAAACGAUAAAUAAAAGCAAUAAUAAAAUAUUCUAAAUCUAAAUUGUCAUUCACAUUUAAUCCCGAAUCCCUCUAUCAACUCUUGAAAUUCAUCAACCAUUUCCAAAUCCCUACGGCCUACUUAUUUCUUAAAAAAUGAUUUAAAUCCAAGUCUUACUUUUAAUUUGGAGUCUCAUCUAAGGUUGAAUUAGAUUUAAAAAACUAAAUCUCGUCUCUUCUUCCAAGCCAACAUGGGGUUACUGGCAGAAUAGUCAAACCAAAGGAACAAGAAUAAGAUAGCAAAUCAACUUUAACCCAUUCAAGACAUAGAGCAUCACAAAAUAACAUAAAUCAGGCAACAAAUCAAACCUUAAUUCAUCCCAAAGUAUAGAGUAAGAUAGAAAAGAGAAUAGACCUUUAAUGGGCUUUUUCCAAUAAUAGAAUCUCCCAGAAUCUGGCGACGAGAACUCGACCGGAGCAGUGAACAAUGAUAGAAAAUGGAACGGCGACCGGAAAACCUCUUGACCGCACCUCAAUCGGAUUCAAACCCAACUCCAACACUUAAAGAAAAAUUCAUUCUCAAGCUCCAAGCUCUGGAAUCGGAAAAUGAACAGAUUCUUUUCAACUCGAUUUUCUCUUCUUUUUUUUUAGCCAAAACCCGACAUUGAAAACAGAAACGAAAAAGCAAUUCGAAUCCAAUUUUCAACCCAGAAAAUAUCCUUUCUCGUUUCUUUGUGUUUAUAUGUGUGUUAAUGUUUACCGGCGAGCUCGUCACUGCCUUGGCGAGAGGAGGAGAACCUGGCGACUUCUGGUGGUCAAAGUUGACGGUUCUCCUGUAAUGGUGCUGCUUUGAAGAAGAAGAUAGCUUGAAAGUCUUUUUUUUUUGUUCGAAGGGC
Molecule: long non-coding RNA, 2190 nt
Filed under: Nicotiana tabacum (common tobacco)
Lineage: Eukaryota; Viridiplantae; Streptophyta; Magnoliopsida; Solanales; Solanaceae
Description: long non-coding RNA (NTAB_LNC007354)
Source: RNAcentral